This 465-nucleotide ribosomal RNA is filed under the name Salmonella enterica subsp. enterica. RNAcentral's name for it is "bacterial SSU rRNA". It matches the Rfam family "Bacterial small subunit ribosomal RNA", at positions 1 to 468 of the family's 1533-position model. The record is from RNAcentral. RNAcentral also lists the same sequence under 1 other name. Lineage: Bacteria; Pseudomonadati; Pseudomonadota; Gammaproteobacteria; Enterobacterales; Enterobacteriaceae.
AAGAGUUUGAUCAUGGCUCAGAUUGAACGCUGGCGGCAGGCCUAACACAUGCAAGUCGAACGGUAACAGGAAGCAGCUUGCUGCUUUGCUGACGAGUGGCGGACGGGUGAGUAAUGUCUGGGAAACUGCCUGAUGGAGGGGGAUAACUACUGGAAACGGUGGCUAAUACCGCAUAACGUCGCAAGACCAAAGAGGGGGACCUUCGGGCCUCUUGCCAUCAGAUGUGCCCAGAUGGGAUUAGCUUGUUGGUGAGGUAACGGCUCACCAAGGCGACGAUCCCUAGCUGGUCUGAGAGGAUGACCAGCCACACUGGAACUGAGACACGGUCCAGACUCCUACGGGAGGCAGCAGUGGGGAAUAUUGCACAAUGGGCGCAAGCCUGAUGCAGCCAUGCCGCGUGUAUGAAGAAGGCCUUCGGGUUGUAAAGUACUUUCAGCGGGGAGGAAGGUGUUGUGGUUAAUAACC